Molecule: small RNA, 52 nt
Filed under: unclassified sequences
Description: NAD+-I sequence
Rfam family: nadA riboswitch
Source: Rfam by way of RNAcentral
GCUUUCAACAUCCCCGUUCGUUUCCGCGCAUUGCGGAAGCAGGACUGAAGGC